GACGAACGCUGGCGGCGCGCUUAACACAUGCAAGUCGAACGGAAAGGCCUGCUUUCCCUUGUGGAUUGCGGGUACUCGAGUGGCGAACGGGUGAGUAACACGUGAGUGAUCUGCCCCCAACUUGGGUAUAAGCCUGGGAAACUGGGUCUAAUUCCCGAUAGGACUGCAGGGUGGUGCCUGUGGUGGAAAACGAUUUUCUAGUGGUUGUGGAUGAGCUCGCGGCCUAUCAGCUUGUUGGUGGGGUAAUGGCCUACCAAGGCGGCGACGGGUAGCCGGCCUGAGAGGGUGGACGGUCACAUUGGGACUGAGAUACGGCCCAGACUCCUACGGGAGGCAGCAGUGGGGAAUAUUGCACAAUGGGCGGAAGCCUGAUGCAGCGACGCCGCGUGGGGGAUGACGGCCUUCGGGUUGUAAACUCCUUUCGACCGCGAGGAAGCCACCUGGUUGGAAGGGUGGUGACGGUAGUGGUAGAAGAAGCACCGGCUAACUACGUG
RNAcentral lists this ribosomal RNA (494 nucleotides) under uncultured bacterium. RNAcentral's name for it is "partial 16S ribosomal RNA". It matches the Rfam family "Bacterial small subunit ribosomal RNA", at positions 28 to 507 of the family's 1533-position model. The record is from RNAcentral.